RNAcentral lists this ribosomal RNA (1372 nucleotides) under uncultured bacterium. RNAcentral describes it as "bacterial SSU rRNA". It matches the Rfam family "Bacterial small subunit ribosomal RNA", at positions 28 to 1381 of the family's 1533-position model. The record is from RNAcentral.
GAUGAACGCUGGCGGCGUGCCUAAUACAUGCAAGUCGAGCGAACGGACGAGAAGCUUGCUUCUCUGAUGUUAGCGGCGGACGGGUGAGUAACACGUGGAUAACCUACCUAUAAGACUGGGAUAACUUCGGGAAACCGGAGCUAAUACCGGAUAAUAUUUUGAACCGCAUGGUUCAAAAGUGAAAGACGGUCUUGCUGUCACUUAUAGAUGGAUCCGCGCUGCAUUAGCUAGUUGGUAAGGUAACGGCUUACCAAGGCAACGAUGCAUAGCCGACCUGAGAGGGUGAUCGGCCACACUGGAACUGAGACACGGUCCAGACUCCUACGGGAGGCAGCAGUAGGGAAUCUUCCGCAAUGGGCGAAAGCCUGACGGAGCAACGCCGCGUGAGUGAUGAAGGUCUUCGGAUCGUAAAACUCUGUUAUUAGGGAAGAACAUAUGUGUAAGUAACUGUGCACAUCUUGACGGUACCUAAUCAGAAAGCCACGGCUAACUACGUGCCAGCAGCCGCGGUAAUACGUAGGUGGCAAGCGUUAUCCGGAAUUAUUGGGCGUNAAGCGCGCGUAGGUGGUUUUUUAAGUCUGAUGUGAAAGCCCACGGCUCAACCGUGGAGGGUCAUUGGAAACUGGAAAACUUGAGUGCAGAAGAGGAAAGUGGAAUUCCAUGUGUAGCGGUGAAAUGCGCAGAGAUAUGGAGGAACACCAGUGGCGAAGGCGACUUUCUGGUCUGUAACUGACGCUGAUGUGCGAAAGCGUGGGGAUCAAACAGGAUUAGAUACCCUGGUAGUCCACGCCGUAAACGAUGAGUGCUAAGUGUUAGGGGGUUUCCGCCCCUUAGUGCUGCAGCUAACGCAUUAAGCACUCCGCCUGGGGAGUACGACCGCAAGGUUGAAACUCAAAGGAAUUGACGGGGACCCGCACAAGCGGUGGAGCAUGUGGUUUAAUUCGAAGCAACGCGAAGAACCUUACCAAAUCUUGACAUCCUUUGACAACUCUAGAGAUAGAGCCUUCCCCUUCGGGGGACAAAGUGACAGGUGGUGCAUGGUUGUCGUCAGCUCGUGUCGUGAGAUGUUGGGUUAAGUCCCGCAACGAGCGCAACCCUUAAGCUUAGUUGCCAUCAUUAAGUUGGGCACUCUAAGUUGACUGCCGGUGACAAACCGGAGGAAGGUGGGGAUGACGUCAAAUCAUCAUGCCCCUUAUGAUUUGGGCUACACACGUGCUACAAUGGACAAUACAAAGGGCAGCGAAACCGCGAGGUCAAGCAAAUCCCAUAAAGUUGUUCUCAGUUCGGAUUGUAGUCUGCAACUCGACUACAUGAAGCUGGAAUCGCUAGUAAUCGUAGAUCAGCAUGCUACGGUGAAUACGUUCCCGGGUCU